GUGCCCAUAGUAUAGUGGUUAGUAUUUCUCGUUGUGGCCGAGACGACCCGUGUUCGACUCACGGUGGGCACA
Chloropicon primus is the source of this 72-nucleotide non-coding RNA. The record is from the annotation of a GenBank genome assembly. NCBI's taxonomy places the organism in Eukaryota, Viridiplantae, Chlorophyta, Chloropicophyceae, Chloropicales, Chloropicaceae.